CAGUCAUGUAAUGUUUUAUUUUCUUCAUUCCUUAGUUUAAAAAAAAUUAACAAAAAAGAAUAGCCAGGCAUGGUAGCUUGUGCCUAUAGUUCCAGCUACUUGGGAGGCUGAGGUGGGAGGAUCACUUAAGCCAAGGAGUUUCAGGCUGCAGUGAGUUACAAUGAUGCCACUACAUUCCAGGCUGGGUGACAGAGUGAGACUCCAUCUCUAUUUUUUAAGAAAAGAAUAAGUUUUAAUUAAAGACAUUCACUCAAAUCCAGUAAAACAGCUCAGCUGUGAAAUAAAUUAACACUUAUCAAAAAUAAUACAUUUUGCUAUUUUCUUAUUUUAAAUGUUACACAUAAAUAAGUCAUAUAUAAUGGCAGGAUAGAAGUAACUCAAGUUCUCUUCCUCAGACACCACAAUUGCUGUGGUAUUGUUUGUGUUAAAUCUGUUCUUGAAGUGCAGGUAUUUAUAUAUAAGGAUUGAAGACACAAGGUACACUCAAAGCGAGCUCUAAAGAUUCUGAACCUGGCCAGGCGCGGUGGCUCAUGCCUGUGAUCCCAGCACUUUGGGAGGCCAAGGCAGGGGGAUCACCUGAGGUCAGGAGUUUGAGACCAGCCUGGCCAACAUAGUAAAAACUCCGUCUCUACUAAAAAUACAAGAAUUAGCCAGGUUUGGCUGCACGCACCCGUAAUCUCAGCUACCUGGUAGGCUGAGGCACGAGAAUCGCUUGAACCCAGGAGGCAGAGGUUGCAGUGAGCUGAUAUCGUGCCACUUAACUCUAGCCUGGGCGACAGAGAAAGACUCUGUCUCAAAAAAAAAAAAAAUUACUCUCACAAUGAAUGCAUUUAGUUGAGUUUAUGUGUGAGACAGACAGAGAGAGAGAGAGAGAGAGAGAGAGACGGUGAUGGAGAGACAGAGAUAUUAGGAGGACAACAUAGAGGCUUUUCAAUGACCUUCCACACAGAAAAAAUAAAGAAAAAUAAAAAUGUGGUAAUUUGAAAAUCACAUCUGCUUUAUUAAAAUUUAAGCAAUAAUCACGAGAAUUUUUUAGAAUUUAGAACAACAAAUUUUUUUUCAGAUAGAAGCAUUUUAUCACUAACUACAUGACAGUAAUAAAAAGUAGAGGCCAGGCUCGGUGGCUCAAGCCUGUAAUCCCAGCACUUUGGGAGGCUGAGGCAGGCAGAUCACCUGAGGUCAAGAGUUCGAGACCAGCCUGGCCAACAUGGCAAAACCCCAUCUCUACUAAAAGUACAAAAAUUAGCUGGGUGUGGUUGCAGGCGCCUGUAAUCCCAGCUACUCAGGAGGCUGAGGCAGGAGAAUAGCUUGAACCCGGGAGGCAGGUGGUUGCAGUGAGCUCAGAUCGUGCCAUUGCACUCCAGCCUGAGCAACAGGCUAAAAAAAGAAAGCAGAAAGACUUUUAGUCUGGCUUUAUCAUUGUUUUAAAAUCUCUAAUGAUGAUGCACUGCUUAUUGUUCUCUCCUGAGCAAACCCCACCCAUUGCCUGGUCCUUAGCAUGCCACUGAAUAUAUAGGUCAGAGAAUCCCUUCUUCCACUCCAACAGAAUCCCAAACAGGGAGAAAAAUGACCAAUCUCUUUCUUUUCUUUUUUUUUGAGAUGGAGUCUCACUCUGUCACCCAGGCCAGACACUGUUCUAAGAAUUUUUUAUUCACCUUAAUCCUUGAAAAAAACUUAUGAGGUUGAUACCAUUUAUUACAGAAUUCCAACCUACAAGUUUUGUGAGAAGGAAGUCACAACCUGGGAAGUCAAAACACAGCCUCUGGAGCAAUCAGCUCAAAAGGUCAGGACUUGGUCAGUGACUGCCAGCUUCUCUCUCUCUCUCUCUUUUUUUUUUUUUUUUCCAACUCAGGGCCUACCUGAGAAAUCCCUAAACUAAUCAUGUAAGAAGUUGUCCUAGAUCACCUGCCUCCAGCUCCCCCCAUGCCAAUAGGCUCCAAGCAGAACAUAACUAAAGCCUUUCUUUUUCCACUAUUGUUGAAGAGUAAUUGCAUGGGACAGAGUUAAACAGCAAGGAAAACUUUAUUCAAGACUAUUGCAUUAGAGGCCGGGCAUGGUGGCUCACACCUGUUAUCCGAGCACUUUGGGAGGCCAAGGCAAGUGGAUCAUUGAGGCCAGAAGUUUG
Molecule: long non-coding RNA, 2125 nt
Filed under: Homo sapiens (human)
Lineage: Eukaryota; Metazoa; Chordata; Mammalia; Primates; Hominidae
Description: HSALNT0106973
Source: RNAcentral